This 75-nucleotide transfer RNA is filed under the name Ancylobacter novellus. RNAcentral describes it as "Starkeya novella tRNA-Val". It matches the Rfam family "tRNA". Rfam says of the family: Transfer RNA (tRNA) molecules are approximately 80 nucleotides in length. Their secondary structure includes four short double-helical elements and three loops (D, anti-codon, and T loops). The record is from RNAcentral. RNAcentral also lists the same sequence under 14 other names. Lineage: Bacteria; Pseudomonadati; Pseudomonadota; Alphaproteobacteria; Hyphomicrobiales; Xanthobacteraceae.
GCCCGAAUAGCUCAGCGGGAGAGCACACCCUUCACACGGGUGGGGUCACAGGUUCGAUCCCUGUUUCGGGCACCA